GGGGCUGCCCUCGGGCCUGGCUCGCCCGCGGGCGGAUGGCUCCGGGUCUCUGCUGCUGAGGAUGUGGCUGCCGGGCGGAGGUCGUCCACUCCCCUGGGCCUUUCUCCGCGAGCCCUCCCACGCCGCCCGCUCCUCUCCCGGGGCGAAGGGCGGGGACGAGGCGCGCCGAAGCCCCGAGCUGAAGAGAAGGGUGGGGGCAUGAGGGCGCUGGAGUGAGGAACAGAUUGGAGCCUUCCCACUUCCUCUCCAAUCUCAGCCCCCGGGAGGAGGGGUGAGGCCCUCGAGGGGGCCCGGAGUUAAGGAGGAAUAGACCGUUUCUCUCUCUCCUGUCUCCCCCGCCUCUGCCCGUCUUCCCUCUAAGCCGGCCUCUAGGUGCAGAGGCUGACGUCCAGGAUGGGGACCGGGGAAGCCUCUGGAGGGUAUAUCCGGGAAGGCACCAAGGCUGAAAAAGAUGCAGUCUAGCACCUCAGUUAAGAAUAUGGACUCUAAAGUCAGACUGCCAGGCUUCAAAUUCCAGUUCUGCGACCUCAGCAAAGUUACUUAACCAAGCUCUCAGUGCCUUGUUUUCUUCAUCUGUAAAAUGAGGAUGACGUCACAGCAUUGUUGAGAGAAUUAAUACAGGCUCCAGACUUGUGAAUGGAGAAGUGUUGAGGUGACCCCAGCUCCAGCCACCAGCUGACGACAACCAUACCGGAGAUCCUGAGAGCUGCCUAGCUGACCCCAGGCACCCCCCAGACUUCAUGUAAGCUGUUUGAAGCCGAGGACUUUGUCUGUUUUGUUCACUCCCAAUAGAUUCAGCACUUAGAAGAAUGCCAGGCAGGCUUUCCCCACCAACCAAGAUGGAAUAACAGGGAAAAGACAUACCCUUCUAUCUUCAAUAAUUGGAAACCCAGACAAAGUUUAUGAAACGCUGGUUUUCAAGACAUAGGACAUCAGACAAUCAAGGACAGUAAACACUGAGAUGGGAAACAAACAAGGAAGCCAUGAAAACUUCAAAACUGCUUCACCACCUGGAGACCAAGCACCCUGCAUUAAAAGACAAGCCUUUGGAGUUUUUCUAAAGAAAAAACAUGAACACAGAGAACAGAAGUAAUUAUUGAAGGCCACUACUUCAUUAAGUGUGUCUGUACUGAGAGCAUCGUUCCUAGUGGCUAACCACGUUAUUAGGCUAAGAAGCCCUUUAGUAUUGGUGAAGAGUUGAUCCUGCCUGCUGCUAAGGACAUUUGUCAUGAACUUUUAGGAGAGGCUGCUGUUCAAAAGGUGGCACAUGUUCCUCUUUCAGCUAACACCAUAACUAGAAGAAUGGAUGAAAUAGCAGAGAAUAUUGAGGCACAAUUGUUAGAGAGGAUUAAUGAGUCACCGUGCUACACAAUCCACAAAAGGGUUUUGUCCCAGAAAUAGACUCAUACAUAUAUGAUCAGUGAUUUUCAACAGUGGUACAAAUGCAAGUCAGCGCAGAAAAAAUAAUCUCUUCAACAAAUGGUGCAGGAACAAUUGGAUAUCCAUAAAAUGAACUCGGAUCCACGCUUUGCACCAUAUGCAAAAAUUGACUCAAAAUAGGUAUAGGUCCUAGACCUAAAUGUAACAACCUGAAACUCUAAAAUUUCUCAGGAAAAAAAUGGGAUAAAAUCUUUGUGGUCUUGGAUUAGGCAAAGAUAUUUUCUUGUGUUUGUGGGUAAAGAAACCUUUAAUGAGGGUUCAAGGUGUAAGAGGAGGACCUUGUAGAGAGCCAGCGCUUAGCCCCAGCCUCCUCAUAUGCACAUGGCUCUGUAGAGGUUCUCCAGACAGUGCUGCUGCUGCUGUUUCGAGCCUUAUCUCCUCUGUGCUCCUCACAAGUGUCGUUAACAGCGGGCAGCUCCUGGCAGCACAAGGGACAGGGAUUUGUCUUGCUUAGCCGGGGCAAAAUGCAGUUAGAAUGGAAAAGCUAAUGGCAAGGCAUCCCAACAACAGCCUCCUCCUCCUCAAGCACAUGGGGCACUUGUGUGUGCCUCUCAGCCUGAGAGCUCCUGAUGACUGUCCUGGGGAGGUUCCCAACCACACUGUCUUGGCAGCUGGUGGAGGCAGGUGGUGAUUCCAAUUUACUGCCAUCCCCGAGUCUUCAAAAUCCAUCCUAUUGAAAAGUGAUCUGGUGAGCUCCAGCAGCAUGUGGGUUAGGGUCUCCUGCUUGGGGUUCAAGAGCUUGCAGUCCUGUUCAUUGAAAUAGGCUGUCAUGGCUGCUCAGCUCUCUGACAUAUCUCUCAGACUGGCAAAGAUAUUAGGUCUGAUACCAAAAGUACAAUCCAUAGAAGAAAAAGGAUGGAUACAUUGGACUUCAUUAAAAUUAAGAAUGUUUUCUCCUUGAAAAAUAAUGUUAAGAGAAUAAGAAGAUAAGCCACAAACUUGGAAAAAAAGUAAUUGUAAAUUACAUAUCUGAUAAAGUACUUGUACCCAAAAUAUGCACAAGAAUCUCAAAACUCAAUAAUAAGAAAACAAUCCAAUUUAAGAAAUUAUUUUAACAUACAUUUUACAAAAGAGGAUAUAUAGAUAGCAAAUAAGCCCACAAAAAGAUAUUGAAUAUUAUUGACCAUUGGGAAAAUGCAAAUUAAAACAAAAUGAGAUACCAUUACACACCUAUUAGAAUGUCUAAUAUUGAGAAGACUAAUCAUACUAACUGAUGAGGAUUUGGAGCAACUGGAACUCUCAAACCCUGCUGAUAGAUAAAUGCACAACCACUUUGGAACAGUUUGGUAGUUUUUUAAAAAGUUAAACAUACAUCUGCCUUAUGCCCCAGCCAUACAAUUUUUAGACAUUUCUCAAGGAAAAUGAAAGCAUAUGUUCAUUCAGAGAUACACAUGCAUAUUCAUUGCAGCUUUAUUUGUAACAGCCAAAAACUGGAAACAGCCCAAAUGUCCAGCAACAAAAGAAUGGAUAAACAAAUUGUGGUAUAUUUACUACCUAGCAGUUGAAAGAAAUAAACCUCUGACACACACAAGCUGGAUUAAAAAAGAAGAGGAAAUGAAUUAUUGAUACAUAUAAUAAAGAUUACUCUCAAAAUAAUUAUGGUAAGUCAAAGAAGUCAGACCAUGCUCCCUAAGAGUAUAUACUUCAUGAUUCAAUUUCUGUACAAUUCUAUAAAAUGCAAAUUAAUAUAUGAUAACAAAAAGUGAUUGCCUGGAAAUGGUGAGAGGACAGAGGGGCCAGAAUCAGCCAGGAUUACAAAGAUGCACAAGGAAACUUUUGAGGGUGGUGGAUAUCUUGAGUGUGGUGAUAGUUUUACAGUUGUAUGCCUAUGUUAGAAGCUAUCAAAUUGUACACUUUAAGUAUGUACACUUUGUUGUAUAUUAAUUAUGCCUUAAUAAAGUUAUUAUAAAAAGUAGUUCCAGGCAAUACUAGACACUCAAUAAACAUUUGUAAACUAGUCGUUGACUUUCUUGGACUGUGACUUGUUAGCAGUUAGGGAUUGAUUAUUCUGUACAUGUUUAUGUAAUACCUGGCAAAAUACCAUGCUGGAGUAAGUGCUCAAUAAAUGCU
Long non-coding RNA from Homo sapiens (human), 3510 nucleotides. Ensembl annotates it as MSANTD2 antisense RNA 1. Its record names the gene MSANTD2-AS1. Lineage: Eukaryota; Metazoa; Chordata; Mammalia; Primates; Hominidae. The record is from Ensembl.